GAAUUAGGAGCAAAAAACAGAGUGUAAAGAUUUUAAAAACUCACAUUUCGGCCAAAAAAAGGAGUCCACUGUGGCCAGGAAGGGUGCAUUUGCUGAAGAGAUUAGUGCUUUUAAAAAGAAAAGCUGGACAUGGUGAUGCACGCCUAUACUCACAGUAGCUCAGUAGGCUGAGGCAGGAGGCUUGCAAGUUCAAAGUAAGCCUCAGCAACAGCGAGGUGCUAAGCAACUCAGUGAGACCCUGUCUCCACAUAAAAUACAAAUAGGGCUGGGGAUGUGGCUCAGUGGUUGGGUACCCCUGAGUUCAAUCCCCAGUACACACACACACACACACACACACAGUACUCUGCACUGGGGUAAUAGGAAAGAUGCCUUGGGUGUAUUUCAGGAAUAAAGACCACAUCCACCUUAGGCUCCAAAACUUUCAUUUGAGAAGACAGCCAUGGAGGAACCCUGAUUGCACAAGUCCUCAGGAACUGCUUCCCUGGAAUUUGUUUCUGGUGUUCAGCCAUCCACUCAGAGGCUGCUGAGCCAUGGCCCCAGUGGGCCUGGCUAGUGCUCACACCUGCAGCAGACCUCGGCAUCAUCCAUCUAUGCUGAUUUUAACAGACAUGGAGUAUGCAAGAGUUCUGGGGUAGUGGAGUCUAAAACCAAGAUUUCAAAGGAAAGUUUGUAAAGCCAGGCAGUGUGUGACUGGGGCAGUCCCUACAAGUAGCGCCUGAGAGGAUGAUAAGAAGCUGUGAGAGUGAAGACAAAGCUGCAUGGAGACUCCAGAAUAUCAGAGAUGCCAGAAAUGUAGAACACCUGCUAAAGGAAGCCAUAGGCAGCAAGCAAAGCCAGCCCAAGCAAAUGGCCUUGUGGGCUGCACCCAGCAAGUUCAUAGGGGCAGAGCUACCAAAGUUCUUAAAGGCCCACAUCCCUCCACUGUGUGCCCCAGAUGCUAAACAUGGAACUACAGUAUUUUAAGUUUGCCCUGCUGGGUUUCAUUCUUGCUUUGGUCAGGUUUCUCUUUGUUAUUUUCCUUUUUCUUCCUUUGUAAAUAGGACUGUUUACCCUGUGCACCCAUUGUAUGUUGGAAGUAUAUAACUUGUUUUGUUUUGUUUUUACAGGGGCUCAUAGUAUCUGGGAAGAGACUAGAUUUGGACUUUUGAGCAAGGCUGAAACUGUUAAGAUGUUGGGGACUCUUGGAGAUGGACUGAAUGCAUUUUGCAUUGUAAGGUGGACAUAAGUCUCUGGGGGCCAGGGGUAGAAUGUUACAGUUUGGAUCUGGAAUGUCCCUCAAAAGCUAUGUGUUGAAAGCUUGGUCCCCAGCCUGUGCCACUGUUGGGAGGUGGAUCCUAGUGGAAAGAAUUUAGGUCACUGGGUGCAUGCCUUUGAAAGGGGAUAUCGAGACCUUGUCCUCUCUCUGUCCCUGUUUCUUUGUCUUUCUCCCUCCCUCACCACCCCUUCCUGCUUCUUAACACCAUGAGGUGAGUAGUUAUAUUUCCACCAUGUGCUUCCUGCCAUGAAGUUCUGCCUCACACAGACACAUAAACAAUGGAACCAGCUGACCAUGGACUGAAAAACCUCUGAAACCGUGAGCUAAAAUAAAAAUUUCCUCCUAGUAAGUUGUUUACCUCAGAUAUUUUCUCACAGUGACAAAAAGUUAAUUGACAGUUACUUGGCAGGAAAAAUCAGUUUUGUGGCCCGUGUCUGUUUUAUAUGUUCAACAUAAACUACCCAUUCCUGACUCUCGAUAAGCACUCUAGCAAAGUUCUAGAAGAGUAAGUGGGACUAGAAAUACUGUUUCAGGCAUUUGGGGAAAAUACAAUAUGCCACAUUGUCUUUCACCAAUUCAUUUUGGGGUACAUGUGUGUAUAUUUAAAUCCUGUAUUUAUGUGAACAGUAGGUCUGAAAGGAAAUUUUUCAGGGGCUGGUAUGAUAUAGGAGUCAUACUGUGGUAUGUUAAUUGCAAAGGAAUGAAAUUCUUCACCCUUUCAAGAUUCAUUUAUAAUGCCAAAAUAUUGGCUCUCCUUUUAAGCAUAUCUUUGUCUUUACAGUUCAUCAAUCCAAUAAUUUUCUUUACAUACGUCAAACUCCCAGCAUGGUUCACCCUCUCCCCAUGCACAGCAGUUUAGAUGAAAAGCAUAUUCAAUUCAGAGGACACAACCCUCUUUGUUCUUUUGAUGGUUUCUGAAAGAUUCGGAUUGCAACUGUUCUUUGAAGAUGUGUAUUUUUACUGAAAACAAAUGCCUUUCUGUUAUCUAUGAAUGUAAGGGUUUCUUCUUCUUUUGGUUUUGAUGUGUCUAUUCAUCUUUUUAAAAACUGACACAGGACUAUAUUAAAAAACAUUAAUCUUAAAUUGGCUAAUUCCAAAGAA
This 2356-nucleotide long non-coding RNA is filed under the name Marmota monax (woodchuck). Lineage: Eukaryota; Metazoa; Chordata; Mammalia; Rodentia; Sciuridae. The record is from RNAcentral.